RNAcentral lists this ribosomal RNA (110 nucleotides) under uncultured Flavobacteriia bacterium. RNAcentral describes it as "partial 16S ribosomal RNA". Lineage: Bacteria; Pseudomonadati; Bacteroidota; Flavobacteriia. The record is from RNAcentral.
GCUAGCGGCAGGCCCUAAUACAUGGCAAGUCGAGGGGUAACAUGAGUGCUUGCACUUGAUGACGACCGGCGCACGGGUGCGUAACGCGUAUGCAACCUACCUAUACAGAG